GGCUCAGGAUGAACGCUAGCUACAGGCUUAACACAUGCAAGUCGAGGGGCAGCAUGAUUGAAGCUUGCUUCAAUUGAUGGCGACCGGCGCACGGGUGAGUAACACGUAUCCAACCUUCCGUACACUCAGGGAUAGCCUUUCGAAAGAAAGAUUAAUACCUGAUGGUAUCUUAAGCACACAUGUAAUUAAGAUUAAAGAUUUAUCGGUGUACGAUGGGGAUGCGUUCCAUUAGGUAGUAGGCGGGGUAACGGCCCACCUAGCCUACGAUGGAUAGGGGUUCUGAGAGGAAGGUCCCCCACAUUGGAACUGAGACACGGUCCAAACUCCUACGGGAGGCAGCAGUGAGGAAUAUUGGUCAAUGGACGAGAGUCUGAACCAGCCAAGUAGCGUGAAGGAUGACUGCCCUAUGGGUUGUAAACUUCUUUUAUACGGGAAUAAAGUGAGGCAUGUGUGCCUUUUUGUAUGUACCGUAUGAAUAAGGAUCGGCUAACUCCGUG
This 497-nucleotide ribosomal RNA is filed under the name uncultured bacterium. Its description in RNAcentral is "bacterial SSU rRNA". It matches the Rfam family "Bacterial small subunit ribosomal RNA", at positions 21 to 507 of the family's 1533-position model. The record is from RNAcentral.